This 64-nucleotide transfer RNA is filed under the name Molanna truncata. RNAcentral describes it as "tRNA-Asp". The record is from RNAcentral. Lineage: Eukaryota; Metazoa; Arthropoda; Insecta; Trichoptera; Molannidae.
AAAGAAUUAGUUAAAUAAUAACAUAAAUUUGUCAAAUUUAAAUUAUCCUUAUAAAUAUUCUUUU